This 1391-nucleotide long non-coding RNA is filed under the name Fukomys damarensis (Damara mole-rat). RNAcentral's name for it is "lncRNA (ENSFDAG00000033442.1)". The record is from RNAcentral. Lineage: Eukaryota; Metazoa; Chordata; Mammalia; Rodentia; Bathyergidae.
AUGACCUGGAAGGGUAUAUUUUUCUCCCUAGCUCUCACCCUCUCUGCUCUCUGGUAGCCAUGUAAUAAAGCAGUUUUUCUCUGCCCAGACCUUUUUGCCAUGCAGUUUCUGUGUUUAAGUCUGCUGACGAGAACUGAAAUUUCUGAACGGUGAGUCAAACCUCCUUUUCUUUAAAUUUUGGAUAUCAUGUAUUGUGUCCCAGCAAACAGGAAAUUGACUAAGGCUUUCAUCCUCCAGCGUCUUCUACUUUAAAACUGAGGAAACUAGUGUAUUGAGAAGUAAGGAACUUGUCUGAGAUUGUAGUAGGAGUGUAUUGUACUCCUUAGAAUGCACUUCCCUACCUCUUAAAUUAUGUGGUCUCUUGUUGAUAUCUAUUGAUGAAUCAUUAGAUGUAAAUCUGAAGGCUGAAUUCAAAUGAAAAAUCAACCUUAACAAAGGCUGCUUCAACCACACAACCUCAUUUCCCUUCCUGUGUUUGGAAAUGUAAAGUUUGAUUGUCACAAAUAUUUGGAUUCUACUUGAAUGGAAUGAUCGAGGCCAGGGUUGCUGACUAUCUGAAUACCAAGGCAGUGUGACUGAAGAAUUGUGGUGCCCUAAAUGCUAGCGGUAUCCCUGUGUGACAAUAGACAGAGACUGUCCUUUCUGACAUGUUCCCCCAUGUCAUUGUGGACAGAUGUGUGUUGAGAACAAGUGGAGAGGUUUCGGUGGAGCACAAAUUUUGGGGUACAAUUUUUUUUUCUGAGCUCAGUACUACCACUUACAAGUACCUUAGGGGAAGUUAGAUUAUGAAAAUUGCUUGAGCAAGAGACAGAGUGACAGAAAUUGAAGAGGGAAUAGAGAAAAGAGAGCCUGCUCAGGAGAGAGUUAGCUGUGUGGAUUCAGGCUGGGCUUUGAGUAAGGAUAAAAGUAACAGUAAUCAGAGAGGCACUGAAGGUCAAACAAUGGUCCUUCUGAUGUUCCCCGUCUUGAAUGGAAGCAUGCGUAGGUUGGCUGGAGGGAAAGGUGGGAAGGGGCUUAAGGAGUGUGGAAAGAACAAGCUGUCCUGUUCUGAAGAUUCUUACAGCCAUCUUCUGUGUGAACACGGACAUCAACAUGGCCUCACAUACUACAAAGUUGAAGAAUUGGAAGAAAAAACAUAAGACUGAUAAUACUUCAUUCUGUAAUGGAAGAUUGUCUCCUUUAAAAGCCAGUCUAUUUCCUUACUGUCCUCUGGUGGCAACAGAAUCAAUUCCAAAUUCCACUAGGUACUACUGUGCAGAUGGCCAGGAGAAGACCCUCCAGUUGUGUACCACGCACUGGGCAAGGCUUUUUGUACAUGCUUCUCUCUCAAUUAGCAACCUUCCUUUUAUUUAUAGAUAAGGAAACUGAGGCAUUAUAAAUUGGGCAAAGGC